AGCCAAUCCACCACAGUCCUCGUGACGGGA
Molecule: small RNA, 30 nt
Filed under: Bombyx mori (domestic silkworm)
Lineage: Eukaryota; Metazoa; Arthropoda; Insecta; Lepidoptera; Bombycidae
Description: ovarian small RNA-12065
Source: RNAcentral